GCUGGAGUCAGUGAAGAAUGUGGAGACUACCAUUGUCAAGGAAACUGUAGUCUUUGAGAUAAUAUAGUGGUUUCUGGUGUUGAUCACGCAAAGGUCAUGUGAUAGAUGAAACCUGCAGAACAUGAACAGUAC
Molecule: long non-coding RNA, 132 nt
Organism: Aquila chrysaetos chrysaetos
Lineage: Eukaryota; Metazoa; Chordata; Aves; Accipitriformes; Accipitridae
Exons: 3
Source: RefSeq, a predicted model, not a curated record